RNAcentral lists this ribosomal RNA (253 nucleotides) under uncultured bacterium. RNAcentral describes it as "partial 16S ribosomal RNA". It matches the Rfam family "Bacterial small subunit ribosomal RNA", at positions 524 to 776 of the family's 1533-position model. The record is from RNAcentral.
UACGAAGGGGGCUAGCGUUGCUCGGAAUCACUGGGCGUAAAGCGCACGUAGGCGGAUUGCUAAGUCAGGGGUGAAAUCCUGGAGCUCAACUCCAGAACUGCCUUUGAUACUGGCGAUCUUGAGUCCGGGAGAGGUGAGUGGAACUGCGAGUGUAGAGGUGAAAUUCGCAGAUAUCAGGAGGAACACCGAUAGCGAAGGCAGCUCGCUGGGACGGUACUGACGCUGAGGCGCGAAGGCCAGGGGAGCAAACGGG